GAUGAACGCUGGCGGCGUGCCUAAUACAUGCAAGUCGAGCGAACGGACGAGAAGCUUGCUUCUCUGAUGUUAGCGGCGGACGGGUGAGUAACACGUGGAUAACCUACCUAUAAGACUGGGAUAACUUCGGGAAACCGGAGCUAAUACCGGAUGAUAUUUUGAACCGCAUGGUUCAAAAGUGAAAGACGGUCUUGCUGUCACUUAUAGCUGGAUCCGCGCUGCAUUAGCUAGUUGGUAAGGUAACGGCUUACCAAGGCAACGAUGCAUAGCCGACCUGAGAGGGUGAUCGGCCACACUGGAACUGAGACACGGUCCAGACUCCUACGGGAGGCAGCAGUAGGGAAUCUUCCGCAAUGGGCGAAAGCCUGACGGAGCAACGCCGCGUGAGUGAUGAAGGUCUUCGGAUCGUAAAACUCUGUUAUUGGGGAAGAACAUAUGUGUAAGUAACUGUGCACAUCUUGACGGUACCUAAUCAGAAAGCCACGGCUAACUACGUG
RNAcentral lists this ribosomal RNA (497 nucleotides) under uncultured bacterium. RNAcentral's name for it is "partial 16S ribosomal RNA". It matches the Rfam family "Bacterial small subunit ribosomal RNA", at positions 28 to 507 of the family's 1533-position model. The record is from RNAcentral.